Molecule: non-coding RNA, 952 nt
Filed under: Thylacinus cynocephalus (Tasmanian wolf)
Lineage: Eukaryota; Metazoa; Chordata; Mammalia; Dasyuromorphia; Thylacinidae
Description: 12S ribosomal RNA
Rfam family: Bacterial small subunit ribosomal RNA
Source: RNAcentral
CAAAGGUUUGGUCCUGGCCUUACUGUUAAUUCUUAUUAGACCUACACAUGCAAGUUUCCGCGCCCCAGUGAGAAUGCCCUCAAAACUAACUAAUAGUUUUUUAGGAGUGGGUAUCAGGCACACUCAAUGAGUAGCCCAUGACACCUUGCCUAGCCACGCCCCCACGGGAUACAGCAGUGACUAAUAUUGAGCUAUGAACGAAAGUUUGACUAAAUUAUAAUAAAGAGGGUUGGUCAAUAUCGUGCCAGCCACCGCGGUCAUACGAUUAACCCAAGUUAACAGAAAAACGGUGUAAAGCGUGUUUAAGCGAAAUAAAUAAAAUAAAGUUAAUACCUGACUAAGCUGUAAUACGCCAUAGUUAGUACUAAAAUACACAACUAACGUGACUUUACUAUAGNNNNNNNNNNACUAAAGCUAAGGUACAAACUGGGAUUAGAUACCCCACUAUGCUUAGCCAUAAACUUAGGUAGUCGAAUAACGAGACUACUCGCCAGAGAACUACGAGCCACUGCUUAAAACUCAAAGGACUUGGCGGUGCCCUAAACCCUUCUAGAGGAGCCUGUUCUAUAAUCGAUAAACCCCGAUACACCUCACCCCUUCUAGCUCUAUCAGUCUAUAUACCGCCAUCGUCAGCUCACCCCAACAGGGGACAAAAGUGAGCAAGAUUAUGAAACCAUAAAAACGUUAGGUCAAGGUGUAGCGUAUGGAGGGGGAAGCGAUGGGCUACAUUUUCUAAAUUAGAACAUAACGAAUUAUCUAUUGAAACAAAGAUAUGAAGGAGGAUUUAGUAGUAAAUUAAGAAUAGAGAGCUUAAUUGAAAAAGGCAAUGGGGUGCGUACACACCGCCCGUCACCCUCCUCGAAAAAGUAUUAAACCAUUCAUAAUACAAUUACGAUAAAAAGAGGAGAAAAGUCGUAACAUGGUAAGUGUACUGGAAGGUGCACUUGGAACA